This is a long non-coding RNA of Cercocebus atys (sooty mangabey), 682 nucleotides long. RefSeq lists it as uncharacterized. The record is from RefSeq and is a predicted model, not a curated record. The transcript is spliced from 4 exons. NCBI's taxonomy places the organism in Eukaryota, Metazoa, Chordata, Mammalia, Primates, Cercopithecidae.
ACCUCAGUUCAGUAAGCGCAAACGGGCGGGCGUGGCUGCGGAGAUGGAGACCAUUCACUUCCUGGUUUUCCGCUCAGCCUGCGGGAAAGCAACGAAUCUCCUGAGUUUCAGAGUGCUGAGACAGAGGACGAUGGGCUGGGCUUCAGUUCCCUCACCUGGAGAGUGACGAGAACACCAGUACAAAACUCCAGGGCUGUUGGGAAGAUGGAAUGAAAUAGUACAUGAAUGAAAUAGUACAUGUAAUGGGUCGCAUUCACAGUGCCUGGAACACAACAAAUGCUCGUAAAGGAACAGAUUGCUCAAAAACCAAAUGACUGUUGCGUGAAAUGCGAGUGGGGAAAGGAGUGAGAUGAAGGGAACAGAGCCCUUCCAAACUCGCCCUUCAGCCUUCCCACCCAAUCAGAAAGGAAAUCAGUCAUGCCCACAAUCCUGCCAAUAACACAGUGUAGCGGCUACGUUCUUUGGACGAAUGACAGCGAGCUGUGGAAGAAAUCUGGUUUGGAGAAGAGAUGGGGGCUUGUGUUUACUGAACAUCUACGGCAAAUCAGGCCCUGUGCUUUCUUUUGCAUCUGUUCUCUUCUAAAGGGGAAUCAGGAUCCUGGCUGAGGGACCCUGGACUAUUUCACCUUUCAGGAUCUCAGUUUCUUUAGACUAAAAACAUGAAUUCCUAUUUUUUUUUUUU